This 467-nucleotide long non-coding RNA is filed under the name Parus major (Great Tit). RNAcentral's name for it is "lncRNA (ENSPMJG00000010306.1)". Lineage: Eukaryota; Metazoa; Chordata; Aves; Passeriformes; Paridae. The record is from RNAcentral.
AGAAUUAUUUGGGAUAUAAAGCCUUGUGAACUUUUUGUAGGUCAGUUUUGGAAGUUUAUUUGGAAGAAUUAUCCAGUAAUAGAAUUCCAAUCCACAGAAGGCACUGCUGGCAAGAUAAGCAGCACAGGAACGUGUUUGCCAGGGAGAUCAUCAUGCUGUCAGAAGGCAUUAAAAGAGUCUAAGCAGCUUCAGAGCCUGCUAUGCAAGACAAGAUGUGCACACAAAGUCACUGCUUCUUCUCGGAGCAGCUUCAGAAAGAAACUGAUUCAAUGUGCAGCACACAUGGAGCCUAUAGAGGACAGCACAGAGAAUGCACAGAACAUGUUACAAGAUGUGUAAAGACCAAAAAAUUUGUCAGCCUUCAUAUAAAAAGCAACUCAAUGUCUAUCUACCUGCUUUCAAGAACCUAGGAGCCAUAAAUGAAGGUAAACAAAAUAUUCUUCCCAGUUGUAUUGUUAUUUUUUAAG